CGGGUGAGUAUCACGUGAGUAACCUGCCCCCUGCUCCUGGAUAACUGCUUGAAAGGGCGGCUAAUACGGGGUGUGCCGGCUGGUCCGCAUGGGCCUGGUCGGGAUAGUUUCAUCUUCGGGUGUUUCGGUGGGGGAUGGGCUCGCGGCCUACCAGCUUGUUGGUGGGGUGAUGGCCCACCAAGGCGGUGACGGGUAGCCGGCCUGAGAGGGUGGGCGGCCACACUGGGACUGAGACACGGCCCAG
This 244-nucleotide ribosomal RNA is filed under the name uncultured bacterium. Its description in RNAcentral is "partial 16S ribosomal RNA". It matches the Rfam family "Bacterial small subunit ribosomal RNA", at positions 103 to 334 of the family's 1533-position model. The record is from RNAcentral.